This 465-nucleotide ribosomal RNA is filed under the name Vreelandella stevensii. RNAcentral's name for it is "partial 16S ribosomal RNA". It matches the Rfam family "Bacterial small subunit ribosomal RNA", at positions 338 to 795 of the family's 1533-position model. The record is from RNAcentral. Lineage: Bacteria; Pseudomonadati; Pseudomonadota; Gammaproteobacteria; Oceanospirillales; Halomonadaceae.
CCUACGGGUGGCUGCAGUGGGGAAUAUUGGACAAUGGGGGGAACCCUGAUCCAGCCAUGCCGCGUGUGUGAAGAAGGCCCUCGGGUUGUAAAGCACUUUCAGUGAGGAAGAACGCCUGGUGGUUAAUACCCAUCAGGAAAGACAUCACUCACAGAAGAAGCACCGGCUAACUCCGUGCCAGCAGCCGCGGUAAUACGGAGGGUGCGAGCGUUAAUCGGAAUUACUGGGCGUAAAGCGCGCGUAGGUGGCUUGAUAAGCCGGUUGUGAAAGCCCCGGGCUCAACCUGGGAACGGCAUCCGGAACUGUCAAGCUAGAGCGCAGGAGAGGAAGGUAGAAUUCCCGGUGUAGCGGUGAAAUGCGUAGAGAUCGGGAGGAAUACCAGUGGCGAAGGCGGCCUUCUGGACUGACACUGACACUGAGGUGCGAAAGCGUGGGUAGCAAACAGGAUUAGAUACCCUUGUAGUC